Molecule: ribosomal RNA, 254 nt
Filed under: uncultured bacterium
Lineage: Bacteria
Description: partial 16S ribosomal RNA
Rfam family: Bacterial small subunit ribosomal RNA
Source: RNAcentral
UACGGAGGGUGCGAGCGUUGUCCGGAAUCAUUGGGCGUAAAGGGCGCGUAGGUGGCCCGGUCAGUUCGUGGUGAAAGCGCGGGGCUCAACCCUGCGUCGGCCAUGAAUACUGCCGCGGCUGGAGCACUGUAGAGGCAGGCGGAAUUCCGGGUGUAGCGGUGGAAUGCGCAGAUAUCAGGAGGAACACCGGUGGCGAAGGCGGGUCUCUGGGCCGAUACUGACGCUGAGGAGCGAAAGCGUGGGGAGCGAACAGG